RNAcentral lists this ribosomal RNA (402 nucleotides) under bacterium. Its description in RNAcentral is "partial 16S ribosomal RNA". It matches the Rfam family "Bacterial small subunit ribosomal RNA", at positions 355 to 776 of the family's 1533-position model. The record is from RNAcentral.
UGGGGAAUUUUGCACAAUGGGGGAAACCCUGAUGCAGCGACGCCGCGUGAUUUAGAAGGCCUUCGGGUUGUAAAAAUCUUUUUUACGGGAUGAAAAUGACAGUACCGUAAGAAUAAGGUCCGGCUAAAUACGUGCCAGCAGGCGCGGUAAUACGUAUGGACCGAGCGUUGUCCGGAAUCAUUGGGCGUAAAGGGUACGUAGGCGGCCUAGUAAGUUAGAAGUGAAAUAAUAUAGCUCAACUAUAUAAAGCUUUUAAAACUGCUAGGCUUGAGAGAUGGAAGGGAAAGUGGAAUUCCUAGUGUAGCGGUGAAAUGCGCAGAUAUUAGGAAGAAUACCGGUGGCGAAGGCGACUUUCUGGUCAUCAUCUGACGCUGAGGUACGAAAGCGUGGGUAGCAAACAGG